AACGAAAGACCAAGCAGCGGUACAAUUCUUCUAAAGAGUAAAGCAGUGAUGGUGGUCCAAGAGAGUCUAGUAGAGGUUCUAGCUAGUUGAAUUUAACUAAAAAUUUUAUUGUAAACGUGAUGAAAUUUCGACAGCAAAAAACUUUAGGAGAAGCUUGAAGCAAUGUAUCAGGCAAAAAGCAUAUCAAAUCAGUUUUCUUUACUGCAAAUGGUGCAAGGUACAUAACUCUCAUAUCAUCUAGAUAUUCUCAAUAUUGGCAUCGAUUAUGAGGUAGAGGUUGUAGGAGGAAAAAUAGGAGAUGAAGAUAAAUUCCGCAUUGACUUAUUUGGUCACUUCCUCCCUUUUAUGGACACAUGAAGCCAAUCUUGAUGUACGGAAAAGAAACUUUAGAUUUUGUUGAGGUUGCUAGUAAACUUAUGUCAUAAGAAAAGAAACUGAAUAGUUUAUUUCACAAGAGGACUCAUUAUUGGUACCUAGCAAAAAGUGGAUGAAGGAAGAAAGACUUCGGGUAGAAAACAAUUUGUUAGGAACGUGGGUAGUCUGAAAAAAUGAAAAAGGAUUGUCCUAAUAGAAUAGAUUUGUUAAAUAGCUUUGAGUCAUAUGUUAACGUUGUUUUCGUCGUCGCAGAGGAUGACUUCCAUUGAAACAAGAUAAUAUUCAUACUCAUAGUAUGUCUGCUUUGCCAUAAUAGAGGAUGCGAUGUUAGCAGUUCCAAAAGUUUGCACAUUGGCAUUGACUUGCGGGCAAGGUGUGUGGUGGAAGUUUUGUUAAUGGCUGAAGAACUUCCAGGUGAGCCAAGUAGGUGGAAGUGCAUCAUAAAUAUCAACAAGGUUUAUCAGCGUGUGACGAAAAAGAAAAAUCUUGGAAGGUGGUAUUCCAAGUGGUUUACUUUUACGGUGGAGUAGGUUAUGAUUCUAGGAGAUGAAAAAAUAUGAUUGUUGGUGAAGACAAUGGAUAUUAAAAGUGAAAUUUAUGGCUAUUGAUUCUUCAAACAUUUUGUCAAACGUGAAAUUUGAUACGUUUUUGGAAAGAUAUUAAAAGCACAAUUUUCCAAUAUAAAAAAGGUUU
Molecule: long non-coding RNA, 1068 nt
Filed under: Cucumis sativus (cucumber)
Lineage: Eukaryota; Viridiplantae; Streptophyta; Magnoliopsida; Cucurbitales; Cucurbitaceae
Description: long non-coding RNA (CSAT_LNC001161)
Source: RNAcentral